GCAGUGAAUGUAAUGUAACCGUCGUGCAAGAGAUGGUUUAGUAUACUGUAACCUCCACGAUGAACGCUUGGAAUGAUCAUAACAUGAAUGAGACGCUUUCAUGAAAAUAGUCCGUUCUGAGCCCAUCACCGAGGUGAAUGUAAUGUAACCGUCGUGCAAGAGAUUGGUACACAAUGGUGAACGCCGCACAGUUAAGCUCCUCGGCCCUUUACUUCGCGGCUUCAGCGAUGUUGACCAGCAUUGUGUCGGUGUCAAUAGAUACGUGGAAAAUCACAAACACUAUCCCUUAAUCCGGGAACUUCCGACGGGGCUUGUGGCGGGCAUGCGAGAACGAGAUCUGUGACCGACUGCCAGACACAAAGUUUCUUUUGGUGGUUCGCGUCUUCAUGCUUCUUGGGGUUCUUGAUUUGACUCUCAGUGUGGUGGUUCAGGUAGUAGCUGGGCGGGUCGUAAGUUCAAGUGCCGUGCUGACCCAAGUGGGGACGAUGGGUCCUUUCAUUGCAGGCUUAUGUUGCAUGAUUGCAUUUGCCGUGUACAAGGACAACAUCAAAGUCACUUUACCGUUCGGGUAAGGAGUGUGGAUCCGGAUUUGUGCUGGCGAUUGUCUCGUGGAUAUUAGCGUGGCUCUCGGCAUUGCUCGGUUAUUAUCGGAAGUCCUCGGACGGUUCCGAAGAAACGAAACGAGAAGUAUCCGGAGUAUCAAACGUGACGUAUUCCACGGCUCCUUAGACAAAGAAUAAAUAAAACUUUGUUCUACGUGCUCGAUGAAUGACUAUGCUGUUUAUUGUCCGAAAUACCGAAAUAGAACGCACACU
Molecule: long non-coding RNA, 815 nt
Organism: Dreissena polymorpha
Lineage: Eukaryota; Metazoa; Mollusca; Bivalvia; Myida; Dreissenidae
Exons: 4
Source: RefSeq, a predicted model, not a curated record